Molecule: ribosomal RNA, 492 nt
Filed under: uncultured bacterium
Lineage: Bacteria
Description: partial 16S ribosomal RNA
Rfam family: Bacterial small subunit ribosomal RNA
Source: RNAcentral
AGUGAACGCUGGCGGUAGGCCUAACACAUGCAAGUCGAACGGCAGCACAGUAAGAGCUUGCUCUUACGGGUGGCGAGUGGCGGACGGGUGAGGAAUACAUCGGAAUCUACUUUUUCGUGGGGGAUAACGUAGGGAAACUUACGCUAAUACCGCAUACGGCCUACGGGUGAAAGCAGGGGAUCUUCGGACCUUGCGCGAUUGAAUGAGCCGAUGUCGGAUUAGCUAGUUGGCGGGGUAAAGGCCCACCAAGGCGACGAUCCGUAGCUGGUCUGGGAGGAUGAUCAGCCACACUGGAACUGAGACACGGUCCAGACUCCUACGGGAGGCAGCAGUGGGGAAUAUUGGACAAUGGGCGCAAGCCUGAUCCAGCCAUACCGCGUGGGUGAAGAAGGCCUUCGGGUUGUAAAGCCCUUUUGUUGGGAAAGAAAAGCAGCAGGUUAAUACCCCGCUGUUCUGACGGUACCCAAAGAAUAAGCACCGGCUAACUUCGUG